This 2006-nucleotide ribosomal RNA is filed under the name human gut metagenome. RNAcentral describes it as "bacterial LSU rRNA". It matches the Rfam family "Bacterial large subunit ribosomal RNA", at positions 1036 to 2925 of the family's 2925-position model. The record is from RNAcentral.
CGUCUAAGGUCCCGAAGCGUGUGCUAAGUGGGAAAGGAUGUGGAGUCGCAUAGACAGCCAGGAGGUUGGCUCAGAAGCAGCCACCCUUGAAAGAGUGCGUAACAGCUCACUGGUCUAGUGGUUCCGCGCCGACAAUGUAGCGGGGCUCAAGCACACCACCGAAGACGCGGCAGUAUUUUGUACUGGGUAGGAGAGCGUCCCAUGAGGGGCGAAGCGGCCGUGUGAACGCGCCGUGGACUUCAUGGGAGUGAGAAUGCAGACAUGAGUAGCGAGAGACGGGUGAAGAUCCCGUCCGCUGGAUGACCAAGGGUUCCAGGGCCACGUUCAUCGUCCCUGGGUGAGUCGGGUCCUAAGGCGAGGCCGACAGGCGUAGUCGAAUGGAUGAACGGGUCGAUAUUCCCGUACCGGCUUUCAGCCGCCAAAACCGAGGCUUGGAGUACUAACCUCCGGGUCCGGGCUUACUGCUCCUUCGGGGGCGGGAUGCCCUGGCCUGUUGGGACCGAUCCUUGUAGUAGGUCAGCGCAGGAGUGACGCAGAAGGGUAGCCGGCCGCGGAGGUGGUCUUCCGUGGUCAAGCACGCAGGGCGUGGGACAGGCAAAUCCGUCCCGCAUGGGUCCGAGGUGCGAUGAUGGGGGCCUUAUGGCCCGAUAUCCGGUGAUCCCGGCUGCCGAGAAAAGCUUCGGCGUCAGGCUCAAAGCCGCCCGUACCCCAAACCGACACUGGUGGUCAGGUAGAGAAUACCAAAGCGAUCGAGCGAAUCCUGGUCAAGGAACUCGGCAAAUCACUCCCGUUCCUUCGGUUUAAGGGAGACCCCCGAUGGUGAACCGCCUCGCGCGGGGAGCUUUUGGGGGUGGCACAGACCAGGGGGUAGCGACUGUUUACCAAAAACACAGGUGCAUGCGAAGGCGCAAGCCGCUGUAUAUGCACUGACGCCUGCCCGGUGCCGGAAGGUUAAGAGGAUCCGUCAGCCUUCGGGUGAAGCGGUGAAUUCAAGCCCCGGUAAACGGCGGUGGUAACUAUAACCAUCCUAAGGUAGCGAAAUUCCUUGUCGGGUAAGUUCCGACCUGCACGAAUGGCGUAACGACUUCCCCACUGUCUCGACCAGGAGCUCGGCGAAAUUGCAGUACGAGUAAAGAUGCUCGUUAAGCGCAGAAGGACGAAAAGACCCCGGGACCUUUACUAUACCUUGGUAUUGGCAUUCGGUGUGGAUUGUGUAGCAUAGGCGGGAGGCCGAGAGGCGCGGUCGCCAGAUCGCGCGGAGCCGUAAGGUGAAAUACCGCUCUGUUCGCAUUGGAUGUCUAACCUCGAACAGUCAUCCUGUUCAGGGACAGUGCCUGGCGGGUAGUUUAACUGGGGCGGUUGCCUCCCAAAGAGUAACGGAGGCGCCCAAAGGUCCGCUCAGCCCGGUUGGCAAUCGGGUGGCGAGUGCAAGUGCACAAGCGGGCUUGACUGCGAGGACGACGGUCCGAGCAGGGACGAAAGUCGGGACUAGUGAUCCGGUGCCGGUGUACGGACGCGGCAUCGCUCAACGGAUAAAAGGUACCCCGGGGAUAACAGGCUGAUCAUUCCCAAGAGUCCAUAUCGACGGGAUGGUUUGGCACCUCGAUGUCGGCUCGUCGCAUCCUGGGGCUGGAGCAGGUCCCAAGGGUUCGGCUGUUCGCCGAUUAAAGCGGCACGCGAGCUGGGUUCAGAACGUCGUGAGACAGUUUGGUCUCUAUCCUCUGCGCUCGUUGGAAUGCUGAGGAGGCCUGCCCAUAGUACGAGAGGACCUGGGUGGACGAACCUCUGGUAUGCCGGUUGUCACGCCAGUGGCACGGCCGGUUGGCUACGUUCGGAAGGGAUAACCGCUGAAAGCAUCUAAGCGGGAAGCCUGCUCCAAGAUAAGCAUUCCGUGGAACCUUCGAGUUCCUGUAGUCCCCAUGCAGAACACGUGGUCGAUAGGCCGGACGUGGAAGCCCCGCGAGGGGUGGAGCCGACCGGUACUAACGGACGAAAGGCAACACCAA